CACACGUUAAUUAACUCUGUGCAGUUAUACACUUUUCAUCCUCCAAUCAAGCAAGGUUACCCGCUGAACUUAAGCAUAUCAAUAAGCGGAGGAAAAGAAACCAACAGGGAUUGCCCUAGUAACGGCGAGUGAACAGGCAAGAGCUCAGAUUUGAAAGGCACUUUUGUGCCGUUGUAUUCUGAAGUUAGGGUCCUGAGAAACGAUGCUUAAGUCUUCUGGAAAGGAGCGCCAUGGAGGGUGAUAGCCCCGUCUAGCAUUGACCUCAUAUAGGAUCUUAACAUGGAGUCGAGUUGUUUGGGAAUGCAGCUCAAAUGGGUGGUAUGCUCCAUCUAAAGCUAAAUAUCUGCGAGAGACCGAUAGUAAACAAGUACUGUGAGGGAAAGAUGAAAAGAACUUUGAAAAGAGAGUGAAAAAGUACGUGAAAUUGUUGAAAUGGAAGGGUAGGCCGCUAACCAUGUAGAGCCGUGUUUGGGGGGAAGAUAAAUGCUGUAGAAUGUAGCUCCUCGGAGUAUUAUAGAUGCAGUUCAUAUUCCCACCCGAGCGCGAGGAUCUCAGGUUCUACUAAAUGGUGGUCUACCACCCGUCUUGAAACACGGACCAAGGAGUCUAUUGUCUGCGCGAGUAUUUGGGUGUCAAACCCAUAUGCGAAGUGAAAGCGAAAGGUUCUAACCUUCGGGUUCAG
Molecule: ribosomal RNA, 682 nt
Filed under: Starmerella bacillaris
Lineage: Eukaryota; Fungi; Ascomycota; Dipodascomycetes; Dipodascales; Trichomonascaceae
Description: LSU rRNA
Rfam family: Eukaryotic large subunit ribosomal RNA
Source: RNAcentral